GAAAGCCGUGUGCAAUGAACAGUGCAAGCACGGCUUGGGGAGGGAUCUUUACUUGUUUAUUUAAUUUAAGAUUAACAUAGUUGUCCAGAUGUUGUGGGAAAUACAUUAUAAUAUAUUAUUCAAUUCCCU
Non-coding RNA from Capsicum annuum, 129 nucleotides. NCBI's taxonomy places the organism in Eukaryota, Viridiplantae, Streptophyta, Magnoliopsida, Solanales, Solanaceae. The record is from Rfam.